Molecule: ribosomal RNA, 402 nt
Filed under: bacterium
Lineage: Bacteria
Description: partial 16S ribosomal RNA
Rfam family: Bacterial small subunit ribosomal RNA
Source: RNAcentral
UGGGGAAUUUUGCACAAUGGGGGAAACCCUGAUGCAGCGACGCCGCGUGAUUUAGAAGGCCUUCGGGUUGUAAAAAUCUUUUCUAUGGGAAGAAAAUGACAGUACCAUAGGAAUAAGGACCGGCUAAUUACGUGCCAGCAGCCGCGGUAAUACGUAAGGUCCGAGCGUUGUCCGGAAUCAUUGGGCGUAAAGGGUACGUAGGCGGGUAAGCAAGUUAGAAGUGAAAUCCUAUAGCUCAACUAUAGUAAGCUUUUAAAACUGCUCAUCUUGAGGUAUGGAAUGGAAAGUGGAAUUCCUAGUGUAGCGGUGAAAUGCGCAGAUAUUAGGAGGAAUACCGGUGGCGAAGGCGACUUUCUGGCCAUAACCUGACGCUGAGGUACGAAAGCGUGGGUAGCAAACAGG